CGUGCGGGGGCGCCCCAGGAUGCUGAGCUUCCUGCGCAGGACCUUUGGCCGGCGGUCGAUGCAGCGCUACGGGCGGGGAGCGGCUGGGCGCGGGGCCGGCGGGCUGGGAGACGAGCGGGACGGGGGUCCCCGGGGGGCCUCUUCGGCUCCCCUGCCCACCGCCCCCGGGGGCAGCGUGUUCCCCCCCGGCGGCGGGCCCGUGCUCACCGGCGGAGCCGCGGUCCACAUCCCUGCGGCCGGAGCGGGCAAGGCGGCUCUCUAUUGCCGGGUCUUCCUGCUUGAUGGGACCGAAGUGAGCGUGGACCUGCCGAAACAUGCCAAAGGUCAGGACUUGUUUGAUCAGAUUGUAUAUCAUUUGGACCUUGUGGAAACUGACUACUUUGGCCUCCAGUUCCUAGACUCUUCCCAGGUCACACACUGGCUGGACCAUUCAAAACCUAUUAAGAAGCAAAUGAAAAUUGGAUCUGCUUACAUUUUGCACUUUCGAAUUAAAUACUAUUCUUCAGAACCGAACAACCUUCGAGAAGAGUUUACAAGGUACCUGUUUGUAUUACAACUCAGGCAUGACAUUCUUUCAGGAAAAUUGAAAUGCCCAUAUGAGACUGCUGUGGAGCUAGCUGCCCUGUGUCUUCAAGCGGAACUUGGGGAGUGUGAACUUCCGGAGCACACGCCUGAACUAGUGUCUGAGUUCCGAUUUAUUCCAAAUCAGACUGAGGCAAUGGAGUUUGAUAUCUUCCAGAAAUGGAAAGAGUGCAGGGGGAAGAGUCCUGCACAGGCUGAACUUUCCUAUCUGAACAAAGCAAAAUGGUUAGAAAUGUAUGGAGUAGACAUGCAUGUAGUUAAGGGAAGAGAUGGCUGUGAAUAUGCUCUUGGUCUAACACCAACAGGGAUAUUAAUCUUUGAAGGAGCUAACAAAAUAGGUUUAUUCUUUUGGCCCAAAAUCACUAAAAUGGAUUUUAAGAAGAGCAAAUUAACCCUUGUUGUCGUAGAAGAUGAUGACCAGGGGCGAGAGCAAGAGCACACAUUUGUCUUCCGAUUAGAUAGUUCCCGGACCUGCAAGCACCUCUGGAAAUGUGCAGUUGAGCAUCACGCGUUCUUUAGAUUGAGGACACCAGCAAAUAAUAAAUCCAACAGAUCAGACUUCAUAAGGCUAGGAUCACGAUUUAGGUUCAGUGGGAGGACAGAGUAUCAAGCCACUCACGGGGCUCGGUUACGAAGAACCAGUACGUUUGAAAGAAGACCUAGUAAACGGUACCCAUCACGGAGACAUUCAACUUUUAAAGCAAACAAUCCAGUGAAAGCAGCUCAACUAUGCUCCAAAAAUAAUCCAGAAGUUCAUAAUUACCAGAUGCAAUACCAUCCUAAUAUACAUGCUGGACAACAACAGUGGCAUCCUCAUUCUCCAAAUGUAAGUUAUCCUUUGCCCUCACCAGUACUCAACAAUUCUAAUCUGCUGCUAUUCAACAUUGAAGAAAAUGGGGGAGCCCCAUUUACCACCAAAGCACCAGGAAGACAUCACCAUCAUCACCACCAUCAGCACCAGCACCAGCACCAGCACCAACACCAGCACCAGCACCAACACCACUCCAGUUAUGGAAUACCAGUUCCUCUUGAAAGCAAAGACAUGACUACUGGAAUCCCAACCCCUAGUAAACUGAGCCCAGGACCUCCCAUUCUUUACAAUGAAGCUGCUGCCCACCUAAAGAAGAUGGAAAUGGAAACCUCGAAGGUGGCUUCCCCAUGGCCUGCUCUUCACAUCAACAUAAACAAGGUAGAAGAAAAGAAAGUCGCUGAAAAAAGUCUUCAGUUCCCACUCCUGCCUUUGCCUGUUCCUGAUCAACUAAAAUGCAACAUCCUAAAAGCCCAGAUAGAAACAGCUUCCAAAGCAAGCACCCAGGCUGUGAAAGAGGAGCCAGAUUUUGCCACUGUCAAUAAGAAAUCCACUCUUCAGGACCCUAAUGUAAGAAGCCCUGUUCCUUCUAUAAAAGUAGAAGCUACUGAACCCGCUACAGAAAAGCAAGAGAAGCAAGAAAUCAAGCCCCCACGAGUGAGAAAAUUAACAAGACAAUACAGUUUUAACCACAGUGAUGAAGAUGACCUUCCUCCAGCCCUGGCUGCCGCCAUGGCGACAACAGCAUCAGGACCACCAGGAUCUCCAGCAUCCCAGAAAAUCAGCACACCUCAGAAGUCGGAAGGGCAAAACCACCUAUCCCCCUGUGCAAAGAGUCCCUCUGACACAGGAGAUGUGUUUACCUUGGGGCCAGGUGACCUUUUGAUGGAUUUCACAGAAGCUACACCAAUGGCAGAGUCCUCCAGUGCCAUAAAUCCUGCACACUCUCGUUGCUAUCCUCAAAUUUCUAUUCAAAUGAAAGAAGAGAAAAAUGAAGCAUGCAUGGGCCCUCCAAUCAAAACAAGGCUGAUAAAGACUUUCCCUGCUGAUACAUCUAAUCCAUUUUUGGAUCCUUUCACAACAGCACCACAGCUAAUUGCAGACUUUGGAGAAAGCAAAUUACAGUGUAAUGCUGGGCAGUCAUCCCCAUUGACUCCAAAAGCCACUAUGAGACCUUUGACAGAAACAGUCUCAACAGUGCAAACGUUAUUUGCCCGAAAGCCUAUUUCUCUGCCAGACAGUGCUGAGACGCUACGGCAGGAACUAGAGAGAGAAAAAAUGAUGAAAAGACUGUUGAUGACUGAACUAUGAGAUUCAUUCACCCUUUGUCCAGUGGAGAAUGGAGUGGUGCCUUCUGUCAGUCCACAUUCUUCAGCUUCUGUGUGCAUCCAGCAUAAUGCCCCAUGACAGUGUUGUACGUUGAACUCUGCUGAAUUCUCCACCAUUGGCUGAAAUUAAUCUUCGGUUUGGCUUGACUUUGAAAGAAUCUCUUUACUCCUGUGUUGCUGAGGAAUACAUAUUGCAUUCUUUUUUUUCUUCUUCUGAGAAUUUGGAUUUUCUACUGCAAAAUACAGCUGAGACUAGAUUUGUAACUUCUUAAUUUCAUGGAAUCACAGGAUCUCAGAGUUGGAAGAGAACUCAGAGAUCAUCUUGUACCAACCUGUAACUGAACAGGAAUUUCCUCUACAACCUCAUUGACAAGUGGUCAUCUAGACUCUGCUUGAAGAAUUCCAAUAAUGAGGAAUUCACUGCUCACAAAACAGCCCAUUCCACUUUUGGACAACUGUGGUUAGGAAGUUGUUCUUUAUAUCAAGCUGAACCAGUUUAAUGCUUCUUCCAUCUGACACAUCGGUUCUUCAGAUACUCUAACAACAGCUAUCCUGACCCCCUCAGAAGUCUUCUCUGCUCCAGCUUAAUUAUCCUGCGUUCCUUCAACUGAUUUUCAUGUAGCAUGAUUUCCAGUCCACUUGCUAUCAACAUAAUUGAAAACAAAGUGCUGAAAAGAACAAAACAAAACUGAAACUAGGCACCAUUGCAAAGAAGAAAUGCUUGUUUUAUUGAAUAAAAGGUUACACAACAUAAACUUUAUAUCAAAAGAAUCUUGGCCAGCUUUCUGGUCAACUUGUUCUAAAACAUUCAAUGGCCACCACUGCUUGACCAGGCUAGUCCCUGCAUUCCCUGUUCCCAUGAUGACAUAGCAUGUCUUAUAUGUCAUUUUGGUACCUCUCUUACUUCAUCGCUGAGACUUUUUAAAAAAUUACAUUUUUGUCUUAAGAAAUCAAAACAAAUGAACACUGCCAGUUCAAAACUGUUCUCAACAAUAUUAUCAAACAAAGUAUGACCACACUUGAUGAAAAUAGCCAUCAUCAAAGUGGCAACAUUGAUUUGAUAUCUAAGAGUCUGUAGUAUAAAGUUAUUUUUUAGAACCAGCUUUGGGAUUUCUAGUCAAGAUUGUAAAGUGAAAGGUUCCUUGUAUGCCCCACCCUCCCCCCCCCACUCCCCAAAAAAAACCCCAAACAAAUCUGGAAGAGAAGACAAAUGACUUUAAAAUAACACAAGAAAAUAAAAAAUCAACCAAAACCCAAAAUGAACUAAGUACAGUGCCAAAAUAAUAAAAAUUAUAUUUGCUGAAGAAAUACUCCCAAUGGAAAAAAAGCAUACAAUAGUGAGAAAUAGGUCUCAAAUGGAGAAAUGACAUAUUCAAAGAAAUUAAGGAACAAUUAGCACACUGGUAAGAAUACCACAAAGCCAAAUCAAAGAAUUAUAGAAAGUACAAUCACAUACACAAGCUAGAAUUAAAAUAUGCUAAAAAAUGUAAAAAGUUAGGGAAUAAUGAAAAAAUGACCAAUAUGGAGACUUGUGAUUUCAUCAAUUUGCUCCCAAUGGUACAAAAAACAAGAAACCCAUGCCUUCUUUUUCUGUGCAAUUCUUGUUCAUGUUCUCCCAUAAACCCUCCACAGAGAAUCCAUCCAAUAUGCUAAAGAUGUGUAGGGUUUAUUAUAUUUGAUAGAUAUCAGUGCAGCAUCAAGUCUGUCCAUUCAUCCAUCCCUGCCCCUUGCCAGAUGCAUGUGGUAGAUCAGUGGGAAUAGGAUGCAACCUACCGUACCCACUAUCCAUCCCUCCAUAGUCUUUUGGGUUACAUGUAACUAUGAUUCCUUAGAGGCUGUUGUGUUCCAAGAGUCACAAUGGCAUAACAUCACUGGGGGAACAUUUGUGUUAAGAAGAUGGGGUUUUGUGUUUGGAAGCAACUUGAGGUCAUGAAAAAUAUUGCAAAAUUUCCCAAGUUUAAUCCAACCCACUCUCUUUUCCCAACCGUGUAGGCCCGACUCAUUGUCUAUCCAUAGUGCCUAUUUCAGAUAUAUGUACUAAUGGACUGGUUCAAUGGACUGGCCAUCUAACUGCGUGUCUUUAUGGGUUUUUAUGCUUCUUUAUUUUGAGUGAUUGUUGAUCUAAUCAAGAAGGUACUGUAAUGUUCUUGGGGUUGAUGAAACCACUAAGAUAAUUCUCUUCUAUGACUUUUUGCUUGUUAAUAUGAAGUGAGGCAUAAAACAGGAAGAAUAGUAAAGGUGUUCACAAUUAUAAUGGAGGAUAUCCUGAGCACAGAAGAGAUUCCUACAGUGGGAAAGUUCCUUUAGGCGCUGCUAUUUGUGGAUGAUAUUGUGCUGAAUAUGAUGGAUGAUUUCAAGAAAUUUAUAGAAAACAAUCAAGAAAAGACUUUACUACAAUGGAAAAUAAAAUUUCAUGCAGUAAAGAGCAAUUGAAAAUACAGAUUCUAAAUGAACUGAAUCAUCCAAAUUAUUGGGAAAAUAAGAUGCAAAUUUAAAUGGUAGACCUGGAAGAUCUAGCACAACACAGCAAUCUUAGGGGCACUGAUAUCUAAGAAUUUUUUUUAAAAUUGGAAUACCAUAUUCUAGCAAAUCAUAGAAUUCAUAGACUUAUAGCUGGCAUGCACUUCAACUAUUUUCUAGCUAAACUUUCCCAAUUUAUAAAUGAGAGAACUGAGGCCCAGAGCUUGAGGCUAAGUUGCUUGUCAAAGGUCACACAGGUAGUAAUCAACAGAGCAAGUUUUAAAACACAAGUUCUCUGACUUUAAAAUCUUUCUGUACUGCCUGAUCAAAGAAUAAUUCCCAUAAUUGUCAAACAAAUGGCAGAAUACAAAUUUCAAGAAUUCAUAGAACUCCAACUUGGAAGAACUCAAUAUUUAACAUGCCUAGACACAUCAUGGUCAAUAGUAAAAUUACAGGGGAGGGAAGAGGGAAAAGGGAAUUCCAAGCUUAGAGAGAAAGUGCGCAAACCUCUUACCAAAGAACAGUAAUUAAGAGCAGAGCAGAAUUUUCAAGGAUGAUAAGAAAUGAUUAGAAAAUUUGACUAUGACACAUGACAAAAGUAAGGAAGAUGGGCUAUAACUGAGAAUUAUAUCCCCAGUAAAACUGAAAAUGCUCUGUGAAGGCCAGAGAUGAGUAUCUGAAAAAACAAGACACUUUUGAAAAUCUACAGAGUAAGAAAGCCUUCAAAGAAUAGAUAAGCCUAGAAACUGAAACAAUAAGUACUUAAAAGAAGUCACACUUUUCAAAUCAAGAUCAAUCAGUUGCUAAUCAAAUGCAAGAACCCUCAAAGUAUCACAUUGGCUAAAUUCCUAAAUGUUGACAGAUUCAGGAAAACUGAAAAAAAAAAAAGGAGUAACCUAGAGGGGGAACAAGGAAGAAGACAGGGUAAUCCCAGAGUGAACUAUCACUGAUAAAAUGGAAGUCCAAGUUAAAGAAAUCUACAAUAUUAUUAAGAUGAACAAAAACUUUCAUUCUGAGUACAGUUGUUAAAUUUUGAGAUAACAGAUAAAAUAUAAAUAAGAAAGUGUAUAUUCUCUUCCAAUAGAAUUACUGAAAAAGAGAAAACCUGACAAUUAUAUUCUAACACUUAAUAUAAAUGGAUAAAAUCCUUCAAUAAGAAAAGAGGAAGUCCUUGAAUAGGUAAAAAAAAAAAUCCAUGUGGAAACAUUUAAUCCAGAAAUACUUAGAUGAUUCAAAAUGAAAAAACAAAAUGGCCCCAAAUUUACCAUUUAUCACAAAAUCAGACAGGGUUGGAUCUGAAUCAGAAAGCAUUAAAGAAGAUAAACAAGGAUAUUGUAUUAUGCUAAAAGGUCUUUUUAAAAAAGAGAGUAUUUACGUUUGACAUAUGUGUGCACCUAAUCAUUCUGCAGUAAAACUGAUAAAGGAAAAUCUUACAGUCUUACAAGAAGAAUGAAAUCUCUCAAUAAUAGUGGGAAAUGGUUAAUGCCCUUCCCACUGGAACAUUUUAAUGCAUUGUAGACAGGCCUCUAGACAUUUUGGAAUUGCAAUAUGAAAAUAUGCAAUGAAUCACAAGCAUUUUCAACCUAUUAUGUUUCUAGGAUUUUGUCCUGAAAGUAUCAUAAAAGGGGAAAAAGACAAUAUGUAUAAAAAUAUUCCUAGCUGCCCUAUUGGCAAUGACAGUGAAUUGGAAACAAUUAAAAUGUGUAGUGAUUGGGAAAUGAUUGAAUUUAUUUCGGGGUAUUGACAUAAUGGAAUAGCAUGGUGCCAUUAAAAACCGAAUGUGAGACGUAUGGAAAAAUAUCAAAUAGUGGGAGGUGCUCAGCAAAGCCAGAACUAUAGGCCAAUGGACAACUUAAUUAGAAAGAAAGAUCACAAAGUCAAUAGUAGUGUAAUUUCAGAUGGACUUGAAAAGGGGACAUAGAGCACAAGUAUUUUUGUUUGCUUCUUGUUUGUUGAUUUCCUUGUAUCUCUGUUGUUAAAAUGCUAAGGGUUUUAUGUAAGGUUUUACUUCUUGUUUGUAUGUUUAUUUGAUUAUUUGUUUUUUGUUAAUGGUUAUUAAAUUUUUAAUUAAAAAAAGAACCCACUUUGAAGAGGAAAAAAAGAAACUGUAUUUUCAGAAACUGGAAGAUUAAAAAUAUGAGUCACUAA
Molecule: non-coding RNA, 7326 nt
Organism: Phascolarctos cinereus (koala)
Lineage: Eukaryota; Metazoa; Chordata; Mammalia; Diprotodontia; Phascolarctidae
Source: RefSeq, a predicted model, not a curated record